GGAGUCUAACAUGUGCGCGAGUCGUUGGGUCGGAGACGCUCCGCUAAACCCAUAGGCGCAAUGAAAGUAAAGGCCACCUUCGCGGGGCCGAGGGAGGAAGGAGCGAGUCACUUCGCGGUGACGGUUCCCGCACUCCCGGGGCGUCUGAUUCCUCAUCGCGAGGGGAGGCGCACCCAGAGCACACACGUUGGGACCCGAAAGAUGGUGAACUAUGCCUGGCCAGGACGAAGUCAGGGGAAACCCUGAUGGAGGUCCGUAGCGAUUCUGACGUGCAAAUCGAUCGUCGGAGCUGGGUAUAGGGGCGAAAGACUAAUCGAACCAUCUAGUAGCUGGUUCCCUCCGAAGUUUCCCUCAGGAUAGCUGGCGCUCGGAGGAGAGUCUCAUCCGGUAAAGCGAAUGAUUAGAGGCCUUGGGGCCGAAACGACCUCAACCUAUUCUCAAACUUUAAAUGGGUGAGAACUCCGGCUUGCUCGAUAUUCAAUGAAGCCGGAGAUGGGGCCUCGAGCCCCGUGGAUCGGAGUGCCUAGUGGGCCACUUUUG
This 540-nucleotide ribosomal RNA is filed under the name Anisoptera sp. MD-2011. RNAcentral's name for it is "eukaryotic LSU rRNA". It matches the Rfam family "Eukaryotic large subunit ribosomal RNA", at positions 670 to 1139 of the family's 3401-position model. The record is from RNAcentral. Lineage: Eukaryota; Metazoa; Arthropoda; Insecta; Odonata.